Molecule: ribosomal RNA, 292 nt
Filed under: uncultured bacterium
Lineage: Bacteria
Description: partial 16S ribosomal RNA
Rfam family: Bacterial small subunit ribosomal RNA
Source: RNAcentral
GUGUCAGCAGCCGCGGUAAUACAGAGGUGGCGAGCGUUGUUCGGAUUUACUGGGCGUAAAGGGUGCGUAGGCGGCUCCGCGUGUCGGAUGUGAAAUCCCACGGAUCAUCUGUGGAAUGGCAUACGAAACUGCGGGGCUAGAGUGUAGGAGGGGAGGGCGGAAUUCUCGGUGUAGCGGUGAAAUGCGUUGAUAUCGAGAAGAACGCCGGUGGCGAAGGCGGCCCUCUGGACUACAACUGACGCUGAGGCACGAAAGCUAGGGGAGCAAACAGGAUUAGAAACCCCGGUAGUCC